This 484-nucleotide ribosomal RNA is filed under the name uncultured bacterium. RNAcentral's name for it is "partial 16S ribosomal RNA". It matches the Rfam family "Bacterial small subunit ribosomal RNA", at positions 29 to 507 of the family's 1533-position model. The record is from RNAcentral.
AUUGAACGCUGGCGGCAUGCUUUACACAUGCAAGUCGAACGGCAGCGCGGGCUUCGGCCUGGCGGCGAGUGGCGAACGGGUGAGUAAUACAUCGGAACGUGCCCAGUAGUGGGGGAUAGCUCGGCGAAAGCCGGAUUAAUACCGCAUACGACCUGAGGGAGAAAGCGGGGGAUCUUUGGACCUCGCGCUAUUGGAGCGGCCGAUGGCAGAUUAGCUAGUUGGUGGGGUAAAGGCCUACCAAGGCGACGAUCUGUAGCUGGUCUGAGAGGACGAGCAGCCACACUGGGACUGAGACACGGCCCAGACUCCUACGGGAGGCAGCAGUGGGGAAUUUUGGACGAUGGGCGAAAGCCUGAUCCAGCAAUGCCGCGUGUGUGAUGAAGGCCUUCGGGUUGUAAAGCACUUUUGGCGGGAACGAAAAGGACUGUGCCAAUACCACGGUUCGAUGACGGUACCCGCAGAAUAAGCACCGGCUAACUACGUG